Molecule: ribosomal RNA, 1536 nt
Filed under: Klebsiella pneumoniae
Lineage: Bacteria; Pseudomonadati; Pseudomonadota; Gammaproteobacteria; Enterobacterales; Enterobacteriaceae
Description: Bacterial small subunit ribosomal RNA
Rfam family: Bacterial small subunit ribosomal RNA
Source: RNAcentral
UUGAAGAGUUUGAUCAUGGCUCAGAUUGAACGCUGGCGGCAGGCCUAACACAUGCAAGUCGAGCGGUAGCACAGAGAGCUUGCUCUCGGGUGACGAGCGGCGGACGGGUGAGUAAUGUCUGGGAAACUGCCUGAUGGAGGGGGAUAACUACUGGAAACGGUAGCUAAUACCGCAUAAUGUCGCAAGACCAAAGUGGGGGACCUUCGGGCCUCAUGCCAUCAGAUGUGCCCAGAUGGGAUUAGCUUGUAGGUGGGGUAACGGCUCACCUAGGCGACGAUCCCUAGCUGGUCUGAGAGGAUGACCAGCCACACUGGAACUGAGACACGGUCCAGACUCCUACGGGAGGCAGCAGUGGGGAAUAUUGCACAAUGGGCGCAAGCCUGAUGCAGCCAUGCCGCGUGUGUGAAGAAGGCCUUCGGGUUGUAAAGCACUUUCAGCGGGGAGGAAGGCGGUGAGGUUAAUAACCUCAUCGAUUGACGUUACCCGCAGAAGAAGCACCGGCUAACUCCGUGCCAGCAGCCGCGGUAAUACGGAGGGUGCAAGCGUUAAUCGGAAUUACUGGGCGUAAAGCGCACGCAGGCGGUCUGUCAAGUCGGAUGUGAAAUCCCCGGGCUCAACCUGGGAACUGCAUUCGAAACUGGCAGGCUAGAGUCUUGUAGAGGGGGGUAGAAUUCCAGGUGUAGCGGUGAAAUGCGUAGAGAUCUGGAGGAAUACCGGUGGCGAAGGCGGCCCCCUGGACAAAGACUGACGCUCAGGUGCGAAAGCGUGGGGAGCAAACAGGAUUAGAUACCCUGGUAGUCCACGCCGUAAACGAUGUCGAUUUGGAGGUUGUGCCCUUGAGGCGUGGCUUCCGGAGCUAACGCGUUAAAUCGACCGCCUGGGGAGUACGGCCGCAAGGUUAAAACUCAAAUGAAUUGACGGGGGCCCGCACAAGCGGUGGAGCAUGUGGUUUAAUUCGAUGCAACGCGAAGAACCUUACCUGGUCUUGACAUCCACAGAACUUUCCAGAGAUGGAUUGGUGCCUUCGGGAACUGUGAGACAGGUGCUGCAUGGCUGUCGUCAGCUCGUGUUGUGAAAUGUUGGGUUAAGUCCCGCAACGAGCGCAACCCUUAUCCUUUGUUGCCAGCGGUCCGGCCGGGAACUCAAAGGAGACUGCCAGUGAUAAACUGGAGGAAGGUGGGGAUGACGUCAAGUCAUCAUGGCCCUUACGACCAGGGCUACACACGUGCUACAAUGGCAUAUACAAAGAGAAGCGACCUCGCGAGAGCAAGCGGACCUCAUAAAGUAUGUCGUAGUCCGGAUUGGAGUCUGCAACUCGACUCCAUGAAGUCGGAAUCGCUAGUAAUCGUAGAUCAGAAUGCUACGGUGAAUACGUUCCCGGGCCUUGUACACACCGCCCGUCACACCAUGGGAGUGGGUUGCAAAAGAAGUAGGUAGCUUAACCUUCGGGAGGGCGCUUACCACUUUGUGAUUCAUGACUGGGGUGAAGUCGUAACAAGGUAACCGUAGGGGAACCUGCGGUUGGAUCACCUCCUU